AAAAGCCUGCUAAGUCAAAGGUUUGAAAACAAGAGUGACUUAGGAAAAAGUUAGGGCAUCGCGAUGGACUACAAAUCUCAAAGGAUCAUUCUAGACAAAAAUAAGUGAAAAGCAAAACAAAAAAGAGGAUCAAUAACAAAAAUCCUCAACAAGAGAAAAUCUCUAUGACUGCAAACAAAAGCAGAAGGUGAGUGAUUGUUG
RNAcentral lists this long non-coding RNA (201 nucleotides) under Lathyrus oleraceus (garden pea). RNAcentral describes it as "Pisum sativum (pea) long non-coding RNA (PSAT_LNC015838)". The record is from RNAcentral. Lineage: Eukaryota; Viridiplantae; Streptophyta; Magnoliopsida; Fabales; Fabaceae.